Molecule: small nucleolar RNA, 103 nt
Organism: Manihot esculenta (cassava)
Lineage: Eukaryota; Viridiplantae; Streptophyta; Magnoliopsida; Malpighiales; Euphorbiaceae
Source: RefSeq, a predicted model, not a curated record
ACUUGAUAUGUGGACUUGCUGUAAAUAUGGACCGACAGCAAUAUGUAGGCUUUAGAUGGGCAUGCAGUGAGUUUCAUGUUGCCCAUAAGACCUACUGCCAUUU